This 376-nucleotide long non-coding RNA is filed under the name Nicotiana benthamiana. RNAcentral describes it as "long non-coding RNA (NBEN_LNC035887)". The record is from RNAcentral. Lineage: Eukaryota; Viridiplantae; Streptophyta; Magnoliopsida; Solanales; Solanaceae.
UUCUCUCUGGAACCUUCUGGUUCUCUCUCUUCUCCGAUGAAGCCACCGCCUCUCCGACCACCUCCACCCUCACUUCUCUCGACCACCAGUCACCAUGGAACCAUAUAUCAUUGAUUCUCUAUAGCUUCGAGACUACAGAGGCUUCCACCAUGCAAGAUGGUCAGCAGAGGCCUUGCUCGGCUUCUCUCCGGCCUUUCUCCGAUGGGUUUUAGUCAGAUGGUACUACGAAUGUCAUUAUUAACGAGUUUCACAGCCAGAUUUCUUACCUCUCACUGGUUUCUUACGAAACCCUAAUUUCUACCUAGACCGCUUAAUAUCUGUCUUUUAAGAUGUUUUUAGCUUAUUCAUUUGUGUUUUACACUACUCUCUACUCGAU